GAUGAAGAACGUAGCGAAAUGCGAUAAGUAAUGUGAAUUGCAGAAUUCAGUGAAUCAUCGAAUCUUUGAACGCACCUUGCGCCCUUUGGCCAUUCCGAAGGGCAUGCCUGUUUGAGUGUCAUGAACACCUCAACUCUUUAUGGUUUUCCAUGAUGAGCUUGGACUCUGGGGGUUUUGCUGGCUCACAGUCGGCUCCUCUAAAAUGAAUCAGCUUACCAGUGUUUGGUGGGUAUCAUGGGUGUGAUAACUAUCUACGCUUGUGGUUUUUCCACCAGGUAACCUUCAGCAGUGGAGGUUCGCUGGAGCUCAUAGAUGUCUCUCCUCAGUGAGGACAGCCCUUUGAAUGUUUGAUCUCAAAUCAGGUAGGACUACCCGCUGAACUUAAGCAUAUCAAUAAGCGGAGGA
Molecule: unclassified non-coding RNA, 405 nt
Filed under: soil metagenome
Description: partial contains 5.8S ribosomal RNA, internal transcribed spacer 2, and large subunit ribosomal RNA
Rfam family: 5.8S ribosomal RNA (bases 1-121)
Source: RNAcentral